RNAcentral lists this ribosomal RNA (496 nucleotides) under uncultured bacterium. RNAcentral describes it as "bacterial SSU rRNA". It matches the Rfam family "Bacterial small subunit ribosomal RNA", at positions 28 to 507 of the family's 1533-position model. The record is from RNAcentral.
GACGAACGCUGGCGGCGUGCCUAACACAUGCAAGUCGAACGGGGAAAGAACGCUGAAUUGAUGGUAGCUUGCUACCGGAUUUUCUUGUUUUUUCCUAGUGGCGGACGGGUGAGUAACGCGUGAGUAACCUGCCUUACAGAGGGGGACAACAGUUGGAAACGACUGCUAAUACCGCAUGACACAUUCGGAUGGCAUCACCUGAAUGUCAAAGAUUUUAUCGCUGAAAGAUGGCCUCGCGUCUGAUUAGCUAGUUGGUGGGGUAACGGCCCACCAAGGCGACGAUCAGUAGCCGGUCUGAGAGGAUGAACGGCCACAUUGGGACUGAGAUACGGCCCAGACUCCUACGGGAGGCAGCAGUGGGGAAUAUUGGGCAAUGGGGGAAACCCUGACCCAGCAACGCCGCGUGAAGGAAGAAGGCUUUCGGGUUGUAAACUUCUUUUACCAGGGACGAAGAACGUGACGGUACCUGGAGAAAAAGGCAACGGCUAACUACGUG